UGAUAAUGUAGCAAGUGCAGACGAUGUUAAGGAAAAGCCAAAUAGAACUUAGAUGGCCAGCUGAAAACAUACCUAAAAGUUAUUCGACAAUAAUGAACCAACUGUAAAACAAUAAUUCCGUAACUUCCCGCAUUAUAAGAAACAGUAAAACCAAGUUCCUCAGACUAAUGUCAGAAAUCAUCCAUUCUUCAUCACUGUAAACAUACCUAAAAGUUAUUCGACAAU
RNAcentral lists this long non-coding RNA (225 nucleotides) under Nicotiana benthamiana. RNAcentral's name for it is "long non-coding RNA (NBEN_LNC031274)". Lineage: Eukaryota; Viridiplantae; Streptophyta; Magnoliopsida; Solanales; Solanaceae. The record is from RNAcentral.